UUUAGCUGAUUAUGUAAAUGGUCCUGAGAAGGGCAAUACUUUGUAACAUUAUUGGUCAUAGCUGCCUUGGUAUGAAGGAUUUUUUGUUGUUGCUGUCGUUUUUACUCAGAGAUGUAUUGUGCAAAUAGUUAUAGGAUGUCUGAGGAAAUACGUUAAUGGAUAGAGACUUGUUCUGGAUCAAGCAGAACGCAUCUUGGUGCUCAUCUUUCUUGGCACUGGCAGCACCUGCAGAGGAUAGAAAUAACACUAGAGUGUGAGUUGGAAAUCUAGGUUUACGUUCCAUCUUUGCCACCAGUUAGCAAAUCCCUUUUUGAAAAAGGAGGGAAUUUAGAUUAGGAGUUCUCAAACUUUAAGAUGCGUAAGAACUAUGCAAAGGAGUGUGUUAAAAAUUCAGAUUUGGGAUCAUCCUUCUGUUUUUAUCUUUUGAUUCAAUAAGUUUAGAUAAGGCCCAGGAAUCUUCAUGUUAAGGAGUACCUCAAAGGGAUCUAUAUGGUUUAAAGUUCUCUCUUUGAGAAAAUGGAUUAGAUGAUUCCGAAGCUCUUUUCCAGCUCUAAAAUUCUUUCUGGUGGCUUUACUUGUGUUUUGGGGAUGGGAAUAACUCAUUUAUGUAUGUUUAUUUCCUUUUUUCUCUUCCCCUCCCUUGUUCAUAAUCUCUCUUUCUCUUCCUAUCUUCUCCACUGUCUCAUCUGCAAGGUAAAAGGGGAUUCAGUGGGAACAGGAAUGAGUCAGUGAACACUAACUCUGAAAGUACAGGUAGGAUCCCUGUUGGCACAUGUUACUGGGUUUUAGGUGGAGAGAUGCCGUGUUCACCUCACAGUGAUACAUGACACAUGGGAUGUAUGUUCUAACAGGAGAUGCAUACCUCAGCAGGGGCCGGGGGCAGUGUCACAUCACAGGGAGAGGUUAAGAGACUCUUUUUUUUUGCCUCCUUUAUUAUUAUUAUUAUUACUAUUAUCAUUAUUAUUAUUAUUUGUAUGUGAGUAUGUGUAUGUCUGUGAGUGUGUGUGGUAAGAAUACUUAACAUGAUAGCUAUCCUCUAAGUAAAUUUUAAGUAUGUAACACAUUAUUUUUAACUAUAGGCAUCAUGCUGUAUAGUGAAUUUCCAGAACGUAUUUAUCUUUUCAUAAAUGAAACUUUGUGCCCUUGAUCCCCUUCCCAAUUCCCUCUCCAUCCAAUCCCUGGAAACCGUAUUCUACUCUUGCUUGUAUGAGUUGAAAUAUUUUCGAUUGCUUAUAUAAGUGAGAUGAUAUUGUGUUUGUCCUUCUAUGCCCAGCUUAUUAAGAGACUCUCAAAUGGAAAUAUGAAAUGCCCUCUUUCUUUUUUCUCUCCCCUCACUUGUGAGCCAUUGCAAUGCCACUAGCAAACUGGAAGAGCUGAAAGAAUAUAGAUAGUGAGAGAUGUGGUUCCACUCAUACUUUGAGGUGGCCAUUCAAACCAGUUGCAGAUACAGCUGUUCUCAACCUGGCUGCACAUUAGUAUCCCCUGGGCUGCUUAAAUCAUGCCUUGAUCAUGCCAUAGAGUAAUUCAGUCCAAACCUCUGAGGGUGAGUGUGGUUAUUGGCUUCUUUUAAAAUAUAUCAGAUGAUUUUAAUGUGUAGCCAAGAUUAAGGUGCCUACUGCCAUGGGAGGGUUACUUAGAGAUGUAAGAGUAAUAAGACUUAAUUAGUCUUCUAGCAUGCUGCUAAGCUGCUGGCCAGUACCAAAGGCCAGGGUAGGCCUGAAAAUUUGUUUUUGCUGUUCCCUUUUUCCAGUUGGCACUUAGCCCUCCUCACCUGGGAGUUCUAACUUCUCUUAAUGAAGCAUGUGCUUAUGAUGCCAACCUCCAUUUAGACUGUCUUGUCUGCACCUUCUCUGGCUCAGGCUCUGUUCUCUGCUUCCAGCUGUGGUAGGGAGCACUCAGUUUGAGUUUGUCCAUGAUAAGAGUUUGCUUUAAAGAAUCAAGAGGGUUUUGGCCUUUAUUGUAGUUGAAGGCUUUGAGCCCAGUCACUGAUAUUGUCUCAGUUUUAGCUUUUGCAUGUCCCGCCAAUUCCAGCAAUAAAAACCAAGUAUGUGAAAUGAGAAUUUUCUCUGAUUUAGCCUGAGUCUCAAUUCAUUUUCUUUCAAUUCUCAACUCUAGUUACCCACUGAGGAGAACAUUUUGGUCUAUAUUUACUGGUCUCCUUUUAUAUGUUGUUGGGAACUUGCUCCUUUAUACCUGUCUUUAGAAACAGCAGAAUCUCUGGCAUGCUCAGUUUCUUUGCUUGCUCUCAGCAAUGAAGUGGUCAGAAGGUGUUUUUUUCCUCUCUCUCUGGGAAAGGUUAUGUAAACAAUUUGUAUUGUAUAAUGAGCUUCUGAAUCCAUACUUUGAUUUGAUUCUUACAGUAGGUCCAUUCAGUAGGCUAGGCGUGAGCCAUUAGCAUUCUUUUAAAGUUGAGAAGAUUGAGGUCCAGAGAAGUCCCUAGGCCCAGGUUUCUGCAGUCAGACUCAAAGCCUAUUUUCUGCAUAGCACCUAACACUAUGAGAUAUGUUUCGUAUUGUUUACUUAUUAUCUGUAUUUUCUGCCAUUAGAAGGUAAAUUCCAUAUGAACAGGGCCCUUACCUUUCACAUUCACUUCUGUAUUCCCCAGAGACUAGAUUAGUGCUAGGCAUAUAGUGAAUGCUUUUGUUGAGUCUUGAAAGAAACUUCAACCUUCUUGUCCCAAAUCCUGUGGUAUUUUAAAUUCUUUAUGGCUCCUCUUCUUUUGCUAGUGUUCAAAGAGCUAGAUGGAAAAAUGCAUAAAUGGUCAUGUAACUGGUAAGUAGUGGAGCUGGAACCAGAACCCAGGUUGUUUAAUUCUCAGAAUAGAUUUGUGUUACUUUAUUUUUGGAUACUGGCAGCUUUAGUGUUAUGCUGUGUUUUAGAAAGAUCUUUGAAGGAUGCUAUGCAUACUGUAAGGCCACAGACAGAACCAACCUUCUACAAAAGGUGUGGGGUUGGAAAGUUUGUCAUAUUUGUCUACACAUUUUACUCCCCCUUUACCUGAGCUGAAGUUUGGUAGUCAGUGUUCUGAGGUUAUUUAGUAUUUCCAUUGUGGAGCCCCACUCUAGCCUGCCCCCCAGCAUUUGAAAUUCCUUCUCUCCUAUCAAAUUUUCACUGUCCUUUGACCCAUUCUUAGCUCAGAUGUCAGUUGCUAACUGGACAGAGUCACCUUACCUUGGGGUCUCAAUGUCCUUACUAAAUAACAAGGUUAAUAUAUCCUUACCAAGGUCAUCUGAGUGGUUUGAAUAUAUAUAGUAUCAAUGUGUAGUUUAUAAAGCAUUUUACAGAUAUGAGCUAUUAAUUUUUUCUAGGAAACUGCUUAAUAUGGCGAACAAAUCCCUCUAGAGCCCUAAGCCUUUUUAUAAUAGUUUAAGUUACCUUUUCUGAGCUUCCUAGUUAAAUUUUAACAAAGAUAUUAAAUACUUGCAACCUAACAGAGUAAUUCCUAUGGUGGGAAUUUAAGGCUCUUGGCAGAUCUGUGAAGAACAAAUUUUUAUUUGGGGAUAGGAGAAGGAGAGAUUUUUAGUGCUUUUCUGUUCACUCUCUUUGUAACAUGCCUCACCUUGACUCUUUGUGCAUCUUAUAUAGCUGCUACAUGUGCUGAAUCACAAAUUGGUCAGGACUGCCAAUAUCUUGUGAUGGCCAAUUUGGCUUGAAAUGAUUUGAACUAAUCCUAGCUAAUGUCCAUUUGGUUCACUUCCGUAAGGUUUCUUAGUAUAGUUCUCCUAUGCUGGAGCACAGUGGGCAACAGAUCUCCACUGUGCAGGUGCAGCUGAAUUGGGACAAAGUGUUUCUUUGCCUGCUGGUGUUCUGUGACUGGGGGACCAGUGCCAAUGAGGUGAAAGGUAAGGGUUAGAUAGUGUACAGAAAACCUCAUUUGAAAAAGCCAAGGCCAAACAGGAAGGUAUCUGAUUCAUAUGGCAACUUGCCUCAGUGUGUAUUCAGUGGGGCCCUUUUGUCAAAAUCUGUCAACAUGUACCUUUUGCAGAGUUGUGAGACCCAGGGGUUGGUGUCUUUCCAGGCAUUUUCCUGUCAGAGGCAUCAUUCCAGAAAAUUAUAGAGUGAGGAUUGAAACUAAGAUUAUAGGUUUAAGCAGCCCUUGCCUUCCUCUAAACUAGGGACAGCCUAAGCAAUGCCCAGAAGCUAAAUUUGGUCUUAGUCACUAUGAAAAUUGAAAGUAAUGCUUUACAAUUAAGAGUUUGGAAACAGCCUUUAAUUUAUAUUCAAUAAAAUAUUGAUGAGGUGGGAGAAUGUUAUGCUGAGGGCUCAGGGCGCCUGUAUUGAAGAUUCAUAGAGGCUUUUAAAGCUUUGAUACUAGUUGGAGUGCGGCUCAAGACCCAGGGAAGUCUUGAGGUACUGAGAUUGAUUGGUAAUCUCAGGUCCUGUGAAAUGGAGUAUUCAACAUCCUUGUAGCAAGAAUCACUAGAAUUACUGCAUAGAAAGGCAAAAUGGAAGCUCAGAUUCGUGAUAGGUAAGGUGGAUUUCAAAUAAAUGGAGCUUUGAAAUAAAUAGGGAGUUUAAGAAAUGGGGAUAUUCUGAAGGACUGUGGAAAUUUAAAAAGCAUGGUAAAUCCAUCUUAGCCUGAAAUGAAAAGAAGGAAGGACUAGUCCAGACAGUGCAGGUGGGACCAAAUUGAAAAAGAAAACAACAAAUAAAAAUGUUGCAAGACAGCCUGUAAGUUCCCACUCAGGAAGAGAAUCCCAGCCUAUCAAGAAACUGAAGAAAUCCUGAACCUCACAAUCUCUUUUGGAAGAGCCAGAAGUAAAAGGGAAGGUAGCAGGAUUCUGAUCUAGAGACCAGAUCUGGUCUGGGUCUGGCCAUGGGUGGAGAAGUUUCACUAUAUAAAGACAUGAAGAAAAAGUUCCUUUGCCAGCAUUGCUUAUGGCUCUGGAUUCUGCUUUUUUACUUCUAGGUUCUUGAAUGACAGGAAACUAGCUUAUGUUGUGUGUGUUUGGAGGUAUGAAUAUUGUAUUUAUGUUUUUAGAAUGGUGUAUAUGUGUGUAUUUUGGGACAGAGGAACGUGGAAGAAAGAAGCAUUUAAAAUUCUACUGCUCUGAGAUAACCACUUUACAGUCACCAUCCAUUUGUGUGGCUCAUUAUGUGUGUACACAUAUAAAUUACGUUACUUUUCAUAAAUGACAUCAUAGUCUAAUACUUUAUUGUUUAGGAUACCUUUUGAGGGACUUGUCCUUACCCUCUUGUCUUCAUUCUCAUUACACUCCCCCAAGGUGACCAAAGUUAACAGUCUGACAUAUAUCCUUUUAUACUUCUCUCUAGGUUAAUUUCAUAUAAUUCAAACACACACACACAUAGAGGUUUGUUUGGUCAUUCUUUUAUAAAAUUGGUCAGUACGUUAUACAUUUUCUCUCUUUUAUUUGUUAAUCAGUACCCAGUGGAUUUGGUGAAUUUUAUGCAAUUCUUGUAAUGACAGCAUAGUAGCUUAUGAUGUGAAUGUAUGACAGUCUAUUUAAUCAUUUCCAUAUUAAUUCAUUCUGGUUGCCAUAACCAUUGGUGCUAAUACAAACUAUUCUUGUAUUAGUUUAAACCACAAGAAAUUGCUGUUUCUGUAUACUCAAAAUAAUCAUCCAU
Molecule: long non-coding RNA, 5586 nt
Filed under: Sus scrofa (pig)
Lineage: Eukaryota; Metazoa; Chordata; Mammalia; Artiodactyla; Suidae
Description: lncRNA (ENSSSCG00000056344.1)
Source: RNAcentral